UAUACUUCCUAUUUGGGAAGGAUGAGAAGCUUCGACCAAGGUUCGAUUCGAGCGUUAGCGAGAAAGCGUUGCCGCAGGCAACGACCCGAAGGGCGAAGCGCGCAGCGCUAAGUAAUCCUUCCCCCACCACCA
RNAcentral lists this small RNA (132 nucleotides) under Citrobacter freundii. Its description in RNAcentral is "RtT sRNA". It matches the Rfam family "RtT RNA". Rfam says of the family: This family represents a bacterial cis-regulatory element known as RtT RNA. The exact function of RtT is unknown although it is thought that it may be involved in changing the cellular response in relation to amino acid starvation. The record is from RNAcentral. Lineage: Bacteria; Pseudomonadati; Pseudomonadota; Gammaproteobacteria; Enterobacterales; Enterobacteriaceae.